This 658-nucleotide ribosomal RNA is filed under the name fungal sp. 60. Its description in RNAcentral is "eukaryotic LSU rRNA". The stretch from base 203 to 356 matches the Rfam family "5.8S ribosomal RNA". Lineage: Eukaryota; Fungi. The record is from RNAcentral.
GGAAGUAAAAGUCGUAACAAGGUUUCCGUAGGUGAACCUGCGGAAGGAUCAUUCAUAAUAAGUGUUUUAUGGCACUUUUUAAAUCCAUAUCCACCUUGUGUGCAAUGUCAGUCGAUCUUCUUCAUGGAGAUCGACCAAACAUCAACCUUUAUUUUUUUAACUCUUUGUCUGAAAAAUAUUAUGAAUAAACAAUUCAAAAUACAACUUUCAACAACGGAUCUCUUGGCUCUCGCAUCGAUGAAGAACGCAGCGAAAUGCGAUACGUAAUGUGAAUUGCAGAAUUCAGUGAAUCAUCGAAUCUUUGAACGCAUAUUGCGCUCUUUGGUAUUCCGAAGAGCAUGCUUGUUUGAGUAUCAGUAAACACCUCAAAGCUUUUGGAUUUUUUAAUCGAAAAGCUUUGGACUUGAGCAAUCCCAACACCAAUCUUUUUGAGAUCGGUGGCGGGUUGCUUGAAAUGCAGGUGCAGCUGGACAUUCUCCUGAGCUAAAAGCAUAUUCAUUUAGUCCCGUCAAACGGAUUAUUACUUUUGCUGCAGCUAACAUAAAGGGAGUUUGACCGUAUUGGCUGACUGAUGCAGGAUUUCACAAGGGUCGGCAACGAUUCUUGUUAAACUCGAUCUCAAAUCAAGUAAGACUACCCGCUGAACUUAAGCAUAUCA